GAUGGGGUGACAGGAAAGAAAGGUACAAAACAAGCAGAGGAGGAGGAGGAGGAGGAGAGGGAGGAGUGGAGCCCCAGACAGGCAGGCAGGCCAGCGAUGCGAGCCCAGAGCGUAGCACCAUGGACCAGGCACCAGAUCACAGCCCCCCCCUCCAUGGGGAUGUCACACUGCAUGAAUCAUUUAUGAGCACAGCUUUUCAUUAGAAAUCACACUGUGUGUGUGUGUGUGUGUGUGUGUGUGUGUGUGUGUGUGUGUGUGUGUGUGUGUGUGUGUGUGCGUGUGUGUGUGUGUGUGUGUG
Long non-coding RNA from Gadus morhua (Atlantic cod), 298 nucleotides. RefSeq lists it as uncharacterized. Lineage: Eukaryota; Metazoa; Chordata; Actinopteri; Gadiformes; Gadidae. The transcript has 2 exons. The record is from RefSeq and is a predicted model, not a curated record.